AACGAACGCUGGCGGCAGGCCUAACACAUGCAAGUCGAGCGCACCCUUCGGGGUGAGCGGCGGACGGGGGAGUAACGCGUGGGAACGUGCACUUCUCUGCGGUGUAGCCUCGGGAAACUGAGAGUAAUACCGCAUACGCCCUUUGGGGGAAAGAUUUAUCGGUGAAGGAUCGGCCCGCGUUGGAUUGGGUAGUUGGUGGGGUAAUGGCCCACCAAGCCGACGAUCCAUAGCUGGUUUGAGAGGAUGAUCAGCCACGCUGGGACUGAGACACGGCCCAGACUCCUACGGGAGGCAGCAGUGGAGAAUCUUAGACGAUGGAGGCAACCCUGAUCUAGCCAUGCCGCGGGAGUGAGGAAGGCGUUAGGGUUGUAAAGCUCUUUCAGCUGGGAAGAUAAUGACGGUACCAGCAGAAGAAGCCCCGGCUAACUCCGUG
This 433-nucleotide ribosomal RNA is filed under the name uncultured bacterium. RNAcentral describes it as "partial 16S ribosomal RNA". It matches the Rfam family "Bacterial small subunit ribosomal RNA", at positions 29 to 507 of the family's 1533-position model. The record is from RNAcentral.